Molecule: small RNA, 787 nt
Filed under: Rattus norvegicus (Norway rat)
Lineage: Eukaryota; Metazoa; Chordata; Mammalia; Rodentia; Muridae
Description: uncharacterized LOC108349942
Source: RNAcentral
AGAAAUGUAGGCUACAUUUAGCAUAAUGUUUUACUCAAGCCUUGCUGUCUGCCAGCUUCCUGUACGUUGAUAUAUGUCAGUUUGUUCAGGCCCUAGCCAUAUCCCAAAUGUUUAGUUCUAUAUUCACCCCAUGACAUCAUCAACCCUCUCACCCUUUCCCUUUUGCUCCUGGCUUCUGAGCUGCCUCCUCUCCACAAGCCCCUGUCCUUGUCCACCAGUACCACUGAGCUCCUGUUGGAUAUCUACCCUGGCUGGCUGCUAACUGUCCUCUUCUCUCCACUGUACAGCUAGCUCAGUCCCAAAGUUUGAAGCAGAAUAGACAAGGGAUAUCUCCUCUGGUGCCAUCAACUUGGAAACAAGUCUUUCUCUAGAAUUAUCCAUGGCCUGAAGCUGAUAGGGAACGCAGAGAAAUAGUGUGCUCUGGGGGAUUCGACAGAGAGGCAACUCUGAGCAAGACAACUGGGAAAAGCUUUGCAGGUUGGAGAUGAAGUGCCUUUCUCAAGGCCACAGAACCCACAUGAAAAAAGAAUCAAUCGGACUUUUGGAACCUAAGGUAGCGCAAGGCAUUAGAGCCAGUGGAAAGGACGCUAUUCUGAACUGAGGGACUGUGCUUGGGCAUUGGGUCCGAAGUCACGGGACAUUCAAAGUAAGUCUCCUAACCCAGGUAUGUCUGGGUGUCAAUCAGCCAGCAAGGGAUAAGAGUAUCCAGGCUUUUUGCUGCCCAGUAUUUAGUGGAUGAUAAGGAAUAUAGCUGUAGAAAAUAUUUCAAAUGAAUAUCCUUUUUGUA